RNAcentral lists this ribosomal RNA (429 nucleotides) under Gemmatimonadota bacterium. RNAcentral's name for it is "Gemmatimonadetes bacterium partial 16S ribosomal RNA". It matches the Rfam family "Bacterial small subunit ribosomal RNA", at positions 355 to 776 of the family's 1533-position model. The record is from RNAcentral. Lineage: Bacteria; Pseudomonadati; Gemmatimonadota.
UAGGGAAUCUUCGGCAAUGGACGAAAGUCUGACCGAGCAACGCCGCGUGAGUGAAGAAGGUUUUCCGAUCGUAAAACUCUGUUGUUAGAGAAGAACAAGGACGUUAGUAACUGAACGUCCCCUGACGGUAUCUAACCAGAAAGCCACGGCUAACUACGUGCCAGCAGCCGCGGUAAUACGUAGGUGGCAAGCGUUGUCCGGAUUUAUUGGGCGUAAAGCGAGCGCAGGCGGUUUCUUAAGUCUGAUGUGAAAGCCCCCGGCUCAACCGGGGAGGGUCAUUGGAAACUGGGAGACUUGAGUGCAGAAGAGGAGAGUGGAAUUCCAUGUGUAGCGGUGAAAUGCGUAGAUAUAUGGAGGAACACCAGUGGCGAAGGCGGCUCUCUGGUCUGUAACUGACGCUGAGGCUCGAAAGCGUGGGGAGCAAACAGG